This 238-nucleotide unclassified non-coding RNA is filed under the name uncultured Phialocephala. RNAcentral's name for it is "sequence contains ITS2". The stretch from base 1 to 52 matches the Rfam family "5.8S ribosomal RNA", at positions 103 to 154 of the family's 154-position model. Lineage: Eukaryota; Fungi; Ascomycota; Leotiomycetes; Helotiales. The record is from RNAcentral.
AACGCACAUUGCGCCCUGUGGUAUUCCGCAGGGCAUGCCUGUUCGAGCGUCAUUUAACCACUCACGCCUAGCGUGGUAUUGGGGCACGCGGUCUCCGCGGCCCUCAAAAUGAGUGGCGGCGCCGGUGGGCUCUAAGCGUAGUACAUACUCCCGCUAUAGAGUUCCCCCGGUGGCUCGCCAGAACCCCCAAUUUUUACAGGUUGACCUCGGAUCAGGUAGGGAUACCCGCUGAACUUAA